GGGGGUUUAGCUCAGUGGUUCAGGCACCUGCCUUGCAAGCUGAAGGGCAUGAGUUCAAUCCCCAAUUACCUCCA
This 74-nucleotide transfer RNA is filed under the name Fukomys damarensis (Damara mole-rat). It matches the Rfam family "tRNA". Rfam says of the family: Transfer RNA (tRNA) molecules are approximately 80 nucleotides in length. Their secondary structure includes four short double-helical elements and three loops (D, anti-codon, and T loops). The record is from Rfam by way of RNAcentral. Lineage: Eukaryota; Metazoa; Chordata; Mammalia; Rodentia; Bathyergidae.